UACGUAGGGGGUAAGCGUUGUCCGGAUUUAUUGGGCGUAAAGAGCGUGUAGGCGGCCAGACAGGUCCGUUGUGAAAACUCGAGGCUCAACCUCGAGACGCCGAUGGAAACCGUCUGGCUAGAGUCCGGAGGAGGAGAGUGGAAUUCCUGGUGUAGCGGUGAAAUGCGCAGAUAUCAGGAAGAACACCCGUGGCUAAGGCGGCUCUCUAGUACGGUACUGACGCUGAGACGCGAAAGCGUGGGGAGCGAACAGG
This 253-nucleotide ribosomal RNA is filed under the name uncultured bacterium. RNAcentral's name for it is "partial 16S ribosomal RNA". It matches the Rfam family "Bacterial small subunit ribosomal RNA", at positions 524 to 776 of the family's 1533-position model. The record is from RNAcentral.